UUAAUGUCUACAUUUCAAGUGUCAUUCCUCCUCGACAUUCAAACAAACAUAUAUGUCAAAGUGAUGUUUUUUCCAUCAUACAUUAAAAGGCAAGGUUAUCAAAUAUAAAUGUUAAAACAAAAAAUAAAAGAACCUCAUGUCCAUUAUGGCAAAGAAAACUACAUGCACAUGGCAUAAGUUUGUUUUUCUGAGGAUACAACUACAACACGAUGAAUAAAAUCAACGUAUACGAAGCAUAUACUAUAUAA
This 248-nucleotide long non-coding RNA is filed under the name Helianthus annuus (common sunflower). RNAcentral's name for it is "sRNA HanXRQr2_Chr02g0082531". The record is from RNAcentral. Lineage: Eukaryota; Viridiplantae; Streptophyta; Magnoliopsida; Asterales; Asteraceae.